This 4914-nucleotide unclassified non-coding RNA is filed under the name Leishmania donovani. RNAcentral describes it as "gene:LdHU3.28.2380(CDS-product:differentiation_in hibitory_kinase_putative)". The record is from RNAcentral. Lineage: Eukaryota; Euglenozoa; Kinetoplastea; Trypanosomatida; Trypanosomatidae.
CGCACACAACGCAUCAACAGGUCACGCUGCUGUGAAGGCACCUGCACACAGACAUACAUACACGUGCAUAUACGACCGUCUGUGCGAGCGAGGGAGCACACACACACACACACACACACAAAGGAGGCACUCCGGCAGCAGUGGGUAUUCGGUGCACACGCCAUCAAGCACAUCCCUUCUCCGCCAUCGCUCGUACAAGGCACCUCCUCGCUCCUUCCGGAUUUCUCCCCUAGCAACACUUCGUUAUUUUUCCUUGCUGGUGUUGUUUAAAUACAUCCUCCUUUCCCCUGCUGACUUUAUCUAUCUGCCUGCCUCACCGUCUCUGUGCCACCGCUCUGCUGCCGUUGAUACUGGGCGCUUCGUCUUCUUGCAGCUGCCCUCCCUCUGCCUGUCUGUUUCUGGCGGCUCGCUAGAAACACGUGCGUGCGCGAUCUUGUGCCGUAUCAAAGGCCGCUUGGCCAGCUUGAAAUGUUCUACAGUCUCUUCCGCCGCCCCUACACCGCGCGCAGCGUACCAGCAACUUUAGGUUGUCAUGCGAGCGGAGAAAGCGGCACCACGGCGGCGCCGGCAGGGGCAAACGACUCGCGCAACGGCAAUGCGGGCCCGAGCCCGCUCACCCCGAGUGGGGCAGCAGCAACGAAUGCCCCGCCGCACCCGAACGGCAGCGCUGCAUCGCCUGUGGCCCAAGGUGGUGAUCGUCGCGUCUUUGAAGGCGAGGAGCGUCUGCUCGGGCACCUGCACGCGCCACGACAGUACCCGCUAGACCCAGAGAAAGAUGCCGAUGCGCUCGUCCUGCUGGCACAGCAGUACUCCAUCACCUCCGUGGUUAUCACCCACUACCGCGUCAAGGAGAGUUACGUGGAGUACGUUAUCGAGUGCGUGCGCGGCCACGACGCCUGGCGCGUCUAUCGGCGAUAUCAGCAGUUCAAGGCGCUUGACCACGAUCUUAAGCAGAUCUGCAGCAGCCGGCACGGGUCAAGCCACGGGGCCUACGGUGUCGUGCCGGUACUUCCGGGCAGCCACUGGAUGGAUGUGACGAACCAGAGCCCGGAGCUGGUCGAACAGCGGCGCCGUUACCUAGAGAUCUACCUCCAGCAGCUGCUCGUGCCGAGGAAUCUCUUCUACGUGGCUCGCACCCAGCUUUACGACUUUCUGCACGACGGCGAGGUGCCCACGCACCUGAAGCUCACUGGCAUUCAGCCGCUCCUGGGGCUAAUCAGCACGCACACUGACCUUGUGAACGACGAGGACGACGAUGACGCGGUUCUUCGCGAGCUGCAGGAGACGCAGUCCCGUCAACAGAAGCAGUAUCUCCGCGCUGCUGAAAGGGCGGCGACGGUUGUGUCAGGAAUCGCGGCUGAUGCAGCCCUUCCGCUUCUCAGGGCGAGCGGCUCUUUCCCUGCGGUCCCAACUGAUUGCGCGAGUCACGCAGGAGCCGCCGCGGCCGCAAGUUCUCCUGUGGCCCCCGGUAGCGGAAGAGUGGAGGCGGGAAGUCUGGAGGCCACAGCCGCCACAACCAGGACAACAUCGUCAAUGCCCAGCAGCGCCGCUACCUUCGCCACGAACAGGGAGCCGUCGAAGACACUCGCCACGAGAGGGGUGUGCACAGGCACUCAGACAACCGGCGCGGCCGUCGUGGAUGAGGCGGGCGAUGACGGGGAAGCGAACGGUGCAGAGGGGCGAUCCGACUGCGUGGACAACACGAGCAAGAUGAGGCUGACGACGAAGUCUGCGCACAGCCGCGUAGGUGGGGCUGCGUUUACAGCGGCAGAUCCCAUGCAGGCGGGCUUCUCAGAUGAGCGGCUGCCCCCAGCGUCGGCGAACUGCGCGCAGUGCAACGCCGAGUUUACCUCCUUCCUGUACCCGCGCCGGUGCUUUUUCUGCCUGGUCCAGUUCUGCUCUGCUUGCCUGCAGCAGCUGCCAGUGCUUGAAAGCGCGUCGUCGCCGGGGCGCGCAUUGGCCACGACCACGGGUCGCAGCGACCCCGUGCAUUUCCUGGUGCAGGAAACAACACCGUUAUCUACACACGCAAAGGCUGCCGGGAGCACGGUUCCCGCCUGCCUUCAGUGUGCGGAGAACUACAGUCGCCGUCUCGACCGCUGUAGCACCGCUCCUGGUGGCGGCGCCUACAGGGGCAUGCAGUCAACGCUCAGUACGCUGGCCCAGCAAGGCCCGCCGGCGCCAUCGGGCCGUCCCUCGCAGUCGUCCCCUGUGGUGGGCUUAUCGCCGGCCACCAGCACGCGCAGCUGCGUUGGAGAGGAGCGCAGCCCGGUGAUAGUGCACCAGCGCGUGACCAACCCCGCAUCACCCAUCCCGCACCCCUCGCUCUCGUCGCCUGGGGGCGCCUUACCCGGCCGAAGUGGCACCCCGUCACCUGUCGGCUUCCAGGACUUUCAACUACUCACUGUCAUUGGGCGGGGCACAUUCGGAAAGGUGCUCAAGGUUCAGAUGCGCGCAACGCACAAGGUGUACGCCAUGAAGAUCAUGAACAAGGCGACCGUGUACCGGCGGUGCAUGACAUCCUACAUGAAGGAGGAAAAGGCCAUCUUGACAAGCUUACAACCGAGCCCGUACAUUGUGCGCUGCCACUACGCGUUCCAAACAGAGUACUACCUCGUCUUUGUCCUUGACUACCUUCCCGGUGGCGAGCUGUACGACUACAUCUACCCCAAACUCUGCCUUUCACCCGAGGCAGCGUGCAUCUACGCGGCAGAGCUUGUCCUGGCGCUGGAGUGCUUGCACCGCCAGGAUGUGGUGCACCGCGACUUGAAGCCAGAGAAUGUUGUGCUGACGGCGGAUGGACACAUCUGCUUGACGGACUUUGGCCUUGCCCGCCGCGCAUUCUCGCGCAGCCGCCGGCGCAGCUUCGUCGGCAGCCCCGAGUACGUGGCGCCGGAGACGAUCCAGGGCCAGGUGCAGACGGCUGCCGUGGACUGGUGGAGCUUUGGGGUAAUGCUGUACGAAAUGCUGGCUGGCAGAACUCCGUUCCACGCGCGAAACAACAAUACGGUCUACGACAACGUUCUUCACAAGGAGCUAGCACUGCCGGUGCUGCGUGCCGACAACGGCACAGGCGCUGCUGCGGCUUCGGCGUCGCAGCCCGGCGUAGCCAAGGGGGCGCCCACGUUCAGAGGCUUUUCCCCGGAGGCGGUGUCGCUGUUGACGGGUCUGCUUGCUCGAGAUCCGUCGACGCGACUGCAGGAUGCGAGCGCGAUCAAGCGGCACCCCUUCUUUCACGGCCUCAACUGGGAGGACUUGCGGCGCCGCCGCGUGCCGGCCCCCUGCAUCCCGGGUGACAUGCGUGACAACGACGUGCGACACUUCAAGCGCGAAUUUGUGUCGGAGUGGGCCUCAGUGCCGCCGCUCACCAACAUGACGCGGGCCUCCAUAGAGGCACUCACGAAAUGCUUCGAUAACUUCCCGCUGAGCCGCACUGCCGCGCCUGCCGGGUUCGCACUGGUGGGUAACGCCAAUACCAUGCCCACUUCCUCCGCAACCGCCACCACGUCGCUCGCCUCUCAUUCACUGCAACAGGUGCAUGGUGACACGUGCACCUCGUCCCUCUCGCUGACAUUGCCGCCGUCUGAGCACGCCACUGACGAUCAGAGGCUUCGUGAGCCGGUGCGCUUCUUUCAUUCCAUGGCGGAGGCGCAGCGGAGCUUCCACGGCACGUGGCACGUCGUCUCUAUCGAGGUGCACGCUGUGGAUGACGGCAGGGUCAUCUUUCCGUGGGGUGGCGAUGUGUCAGGGGUUCUCGUGUACACUACUGGCGGUCGCUUCAGUCUGCAGCUGACGUCGAGUGCUCGGCGCCCCGUUGGCCCGGUGCAGCGCGUGACGCAGCUGUCAAAGGAGGACUUGUGCGACACGUACUGCUCCUACGUGGCAAGCUUUGGCCGCUUCCACCUCUUUCCAUCCUCGACGGACGACGGCUGCGGCGUCGUGCGGCACUUCUCGGAGGGCAACCUGUGCCCGAACUUGAUGCUCGCCAAUACCGUUUUCCAGUACCGCAUGCAUACCGAACCACUGCAUCCGUCGGCCACCAAUGGAGAGUCAGAGUACAAGGGCAGCGGCAAGCACGCCGACACCGCCUCGUCCACCGCCGCCGCGGUGACCUGGGCUCGCAGGUCGAGCACGACAGACGCGCAGGACGGCAGCGGUGGCGGCGCCAGCGGUAACAGCGGACGCGUCGGCGAAGGCGGGUCUCUCGGCGGCUCAGAGGACGAGGAGGGUGAGGCGGGGAGGGGCAGCAACAGGAUUGCCAUCGUCGGGGAUGCCGGCCACCGACAUGGCAGAGACGCUGCGGCUGCCACAACGCAGCCGCCACCCUCGCCGCCGCCUCUGGAGCGCCGCAUCAUGCUACGCCUCUCGACCCGGCCACAGCGCGCCCUGGAGCAGGACUUUCUCGCCUUCACCUCUCUUGUCUUUGAGAAGGUGUCGUAGCGGUGGGCGUGUGCCGGUGAGAUGCCUUUGCGUAGGCGAACGGCGUUGAUGCCUGUCUGACAAGUCCCUCCUCCGAGUUCGCUCCGCCCCGUCUCAGCGUUCUGCCUCACUUUCCUGCUGUCCGGAUGUCUCGUGUUGCUUCUCUCUUUCUCCCCUUCGACCAGAACGUUUUUUUUUUCUUCGUGCCGUCUUCUCCAACGCCUGUCCUGUGUGUCUGUGUGUGCUUCUCCCUGCCCGUGUCUCGCUGCUUCUCGUCCGUUGUGGCGAUUGACGGGUGUGGACGCCAGUGCCGGGGGCGAGUCACGCAUCAGCAGACCGGACGCACGGAAAGGGUACCGUAGAGUAUCACAAAGAGACACGGACACGGACAGAGCAGCAGCUGCCACCGUCCUCCCCCGUGCGGCAUUCCUCCGCGCUUGGCACGUGGAGGAAUGCGCUGCUUUCACAUCCCUUCUUUGCAGUGGGUGGCCAUGC